RNAcentral lists this ribosomal RNA (478 nucleotides) under uncultured bacterium. Its description in RNAcentral is "bacterial SSU rRNA". It matches the Rfam family "Bacterial small subunit ribosomal RNA", at positions 30 to 506 of the family's 1533-position model. The record is from RNAcentral.
UUGAACGCUGGCGGCAUGCCUUACACAUGCAAGUCGAACGGUAGAGGAGCAAUCCUCGAGAGUGGCGAACGGGUGAGUAACGCAUCGGAACGUGCCCAGUAGUGGGGGAUAGCCCGGCGAAAGCCGGAUUAAUACCGCAUGUUACCUGAGGGUGAAAGCGGGGGACUCGCAAGAGCCUCGCGCUACUGGAGCGGCCGAUGUCAGAUUAGGCAGCUGGUGGGGUAAAAGCCUACCAAGCCGACGAUCUGUAGCUGGUCUGAGAGGACGACCAGCCACACUGGGACUGAGACACGGCCCAGACUCCUACGGGAGGCAGCAGUGGGGAAUUUUGGACAAUGGGCGCAAGCCUGAUCCAGCCAUGCCGUGUGCGGGAAGAAGGCCUUCGGGUUGUAAACCGCUUUUGUCAGGGAAGAAAUCUUCUGAGCUAAUACCUCGGGAGGAUGACGUUACCUGAAGAAUAAGCACCGGCUAACUCCGU